This 246-nucleotide ribosomal RNA is filed under the name uncultured bacterium. RNAcentral describes it as "partial 16S ribosomal RNA". It matches the Rfam family "Bacterial small subunit ribosomal RNA", at positions 1247 to 1500 of the family's 1533-position model. The record is from RNAcentral.
CCGCUACCACGCGAGUGGAUGCCAAUCCCUAAAACCCCUCCUCAGUUCGGACUGGAGUCUGCAACCCGACUCCACGAAGCUGGAUUCGCUAGUAAUCGCGCAUCAGCCACGGCGCGGUGGAUACGUUCCCGGGCCUUGUACACACCGCCCGUCAAGCCAUGGGAGCCGGGGGUACCUGAAGUGCGUAACCGCGAGGAUCGCCCUAGGGUAAAACUGGUGACUGGGGCUAAGUCGUAACAAGGUACC